CAGUUGAUCGGUGACGACAACACCAGACCUUGUCCGGUUUGUAAGCUUCCUAUUUCUCAUCUGCAGAAUUGUCUGUCUUUAUCCAAAACCCCUCCACUGAAGAGAUUUGGAUCAACAAGACCGCUACUGUGGUGUGCGUGGUAAUGGGCGCUGAUCUGAGCCAGGUCCAAAUCUACUGGCAAGUGAGCGGAAGGGAGAGAACAACAGGGGCUGUGACCCGCCAACCGAGAGGGGAAAGUACCCAAGACAGAGUGAGCAGUAAACUCCGGAGCAGUGUGGAGGAGUGGACCAGCGGGGUGGAGGUUGUGUGCUCUGCCCAACGAUCUCCAUCAUCCUCACCAGUGUCAGCACGGACAGAAAGUGCCAAAGUUGAAACAAAAAGACCCAAGGUCAGACUGCUGCCUCCAGCUCACCAAGAGACCAAGCGUAGCAACACAGCCACCCUCGAGUGUGUGCUUUCUGGUUUCUACCCGGACCUCAUAAACGUCACUUGGGAGAAAGACGGAGCCCCGAUCUCCUCCACCACCAGCGCUACACCGACUGCUCUGGAGCAGGGGGGGACUUUCAGUGCCAGCCACUUCCUGUCUGUGAGUUCAGAGGAUUGGAAGAAAGGCUCAGUCUUCGGCUGUACAGUGUCUCAUCCCCCCUCGAACACCAGUAUCAGCCGGGAAGUGAAAAGCUUUCAAGAAUUGUCUGUCUUUAUCCAAAACCCCUCCACUGAAGAGAUUUGGAUCAACAAGACCGCUACUGUGGUGUGCGUGGUAAUGGGUGCUGAUCUGAGCCAAAUCCAAAUCUACUGGCAAGUGAGCGGAAGGGAGAGAACUACAGGGGCUGUGACCCGCCAACCGAGAGGGGAAAGUACCCAAGACAGAGUGAGCAGUAAACUCCGGAGCAGUGUGGAGGAGUGGACCAGCGGGGUGGAGGUUGUGUGCUCUGCCCAACGAUCUCCAUCAUCCUCACCAGUGUCAGCACGGACAGAAAGUGCCAAAGUUGAAACAAAAAGACCCAAGGUCAGACUGCUGCCUCCAGCUCACCAAGAGACCAAGCGUAGCAACACAGCCACCCUCGAGUGUGUGCUAUCUGGUUUCUACCCGGACCUCAUAAACGUCACUUGGGAGAAAGACGGAGCCCCGAUCUCCUCCACCACCAGCGCUACACCGACUGCUCUGGAGCAGGGGGGGACUUUCAGUGCCAGCCACUUCCUGACUGUGAGUUCAGAGGAUUGGAAAAAAGGCUCAGUCUUCGGCUGUACAGUGUCUCAUCCCCCCUCGAACACCAGUAUCAGCCGGGAAGUGAAAAGCUUUCAAGCCGGCACAGAAUUGACAGGUGAGGAAGGGAAGGAGGAGCCGGGGGACUUGGAUAGAGAUGACAAUGUGCUCACAGUUGCUGCCUUCGCCAUCCUGUUCAUUAUCAGUUUCCUCUACAGUACCUUCGUCACUGUUGUCAAGGUGCAACAAUGACCAGCCGACACACACGCCACAUUCACGCAAGAGAUCGCCAUGCAGCUGUUGACGUUGACAAAUGGAGUCUCCUUGUCUUUCACUCACUCACUCGGCAAACCGAGGCUACUGCUCUGCAAACGCUCAUUACAGGAGAUAAACUUGGAAAUGCAC
Non-coding RNA from Amblyraja radiata (thorny skate), 1613 nucleotides. The record is from the annotation of a RefSeq genome assembly. NCBI's taxonomy places the organism in Eukaryota, Metazoa, Chordata, Chondrichthyes, Rajiformes, Rajidae.